RNAcentral lists this ribosomal RNA (253 nucleotides) under uncultured bacterium. RNAcentral describes it as "partial 16S ribosomal RNA". It matches the Rfam family "Bacterial small subunit ribosomal RNA", at positions 524 to 776 of the family's 1533-position model. The record is from RNAcentral.
UACAGAGGUCCCAAGCGUUGUUCGGAUUCAUUGGGCGUAAAGGGUGUGUAGGUGGCGCCGUAAGUCGGGUGUGAAAUUUCGAGGCUUAACCUCGAAACUGCAUUCGAUACUGCGGUGCUUGAGGACUGGAGAGGAGACUGGAAUUCAUGGUGUAGCAGUGAAAUGCGUAGAGAUCGUGAGGAAGACCAGUGGCGAAGGCGGGUCUCUGGACAGUUCCUGACACUGAGACACGAAGGCCAGGGGAGCAAACGGG